RNAcentral lists this ribosomal RNA (468 nucleotides) under uncultured bacterium. Its description in RNAcentral is "partial 16S ribosomal RNA". It matches the Rfam family "Bacterial small subunit ribosomal RNA", at positions 28 to 507 of the family's 1533-position model. The record is from RNAcentral.
GAUGAACGCUGGCGGCGUGCUUAACACAUGCAAGUCGAACGGAAAGGCCGAAGCUUGCUUCGGUCCUCGAGUGGCGAACGGGUGAGUAACACGUGGGUGAUCUGCCCUGUACUUCGGGAUAAGCUUGGGAAACUGGGUCUAAUACCGGAUAUGACGAUCUCUUGGAUGGGGUUGUGGAAAGCUUUUGCGGUAUGGGAUGAGCUCGCGGCCUAUCAGCUUGUUGGUGGGGUAAUGGCCUACCAAGGCGUCGACGGGUAGCCGGCCUGAGAGGGUGUACGGCCACAUUGGGACUGAGAUACGGCCCAGACUCCUACGGGGGGCAGCAGUGGGGAAUAUUGCACAAUGGGCGCAAGCCUGAUGCAGCGACGCCGCGUGGGGGAUGACGGCCUUCGGGUUGUAAACUCCUUUCGCAAUCGACGAAGCCUUUUGGUGACGGUAGGUUGAGAAGAAGCACCGGCUAACUACGUG